This 364-nucleotide ribosomal RNA is filed under the name Klebsiella oxytoca. Its description in RNAcentral is "bacterial SSU rRNA". It matches the Rfam family "Bacterial small subunit ribosomal RNA", at positions 468 to 831 of the family's 1533-position model. The record is from RNAcentral. Lineage: Bacteria; Pseudomonadati; Pseudomonadota; Gammaproteobacteria; Enterobacterales; Enterobacteriaceae.
AUUGACGUUACCCGCAGAAGAAGCACCGUCUAACUCCGUGCCAGCACCCGCGGUAAUACGGAGGGUGCAAGCGUUAAUCGGAAUUACUGGGCGUAAAGCGCACGCAGGCGGUCUGUCAAGUCGGAUGUGAAAUCACCGGGCUCAACCUGGGAACUGCAUUCGAAACUGGCAGGCUGGAGUCUUGUAGAGGGGGGUAGAAUUUCAGGUGUACCGGUGAAAUUCGUAGAGAUCUGGAGGAAUACCGGUGGCGAAGGCGGCCCCCUGGACAAAGACUGACGUUCAGGUGCGAAAGCGUGGGGAGCAAACAGGAUUAGAUACCCUGGUAGUCCACGCUGUAAACGAUGUCGACUUGGAGGUUGUUCCC